This 427-nucleotide ribosomal RNA is filed under the name uncultured bacterium. RNAcentral describes it as "bacterial SSU rRNA". It matches the Rfam family "Bacterial small subunit ribosomal RNA", at positions 355 to 774 of the family's 1533-position model. The record is from RNAcentral.
UGGGGAAUUUUGGACAAUGGGCGCAAGCCUGAUCCAGCCAUGCCGCGUGCAGGAUGAAGGCCCUCGGGUUGUAAACUGCUUUUGUACGGAACGAAAAGCCUCUUUCUAAUAAAGAGGGGUGAUGACGGUACCGUAAGAAUAAGCACCGGCUAACUACGUGCCAGCAGCCGCGGUAAUACGUAGGGUGCGAGCGUUAAUCGGAAUUACUGGGCGUAAAGCGUGCGCAGGCGGUCUUGCAAGACAGUGGUGAAAUCCCCGGGCUCAACCUGGGAACUGCCAUUGUGACUGCAAGGCUGGAGUACGGCAGAGGGAGAUGGAAUUCCGCGUGUAGCAGUGAAAUGCGUAGAUAUGCGGAGGAACACCGAUGGCGAAGGCAGUCCCCUGGGCCUGUACUGACGCUCAUGCACGAAAGCGUGGGGAGCAAACA